AGUGAACGCUGGCGGUAGGCCUAACACAUGCAAGUCGAACGGCAGCACAGUAAGAGCUUGCUCUUACGGGUGGCGAGUGGCGGACGGGUGAGGAAUACAUCGGAAUCUACUUUUUCGUGGGGGAUAACGUAGGGAAACUUACGCUAAUACCGCAUACGACCUACGGGUGAAAGCAGGGGAUCUUCGGACCUUGCGCGAUUGAAUGAGCCGAUGUCGGAUUAGCUAGUUGGCGGGGUAAAGGCCCACCAAGGCGACGAUCCGUAGCUGGUCUGAGAGGAUGAUCAGCAACACUGGAACUGAGACACGGUCCAGACUCCUACGGGAGGCAGCAGUGGGGAAUAUUGGACAAUGGGCGCAAGCCUGAUCCAGCAUACCGCGUGGGUGAAGAAGGCCUUCGGGUUGUAAAGCCCUUUUGUUGGGAAAGAAAAGCAGCAGGUUAAUACCCCGCUGUUCUGACGGUACCCAAAGAAUAAGCACCGGCUAACUUCGUG
RNAcentral lists this ribosomal RNA (491 nucleotides) under uncultured bacterium. Its description in RNAcentral is "partial 16S ribosomal RNA". It matches the Rfam family "Bacterial small subunit ribosomal RNA", at positions 29 to 507 of the family's 1533-position model. The record is from RNAcentral.